GGAGAGGUGCCAGAGUGGUCGAAUGGGCAUGUCUGGAGAACAUGUGACUCGCAAGGGUCCCUGGGUUCGAAUCCCAGCCUCUCCG
RNAcentral lists this transfer RNA (85 nucleotides) under Candidatus Omnitrophota bacterium. RNAcentral's name for it is "tRNA-Ser". It matches the Rfam family "tRNA". From Rfam's summary of the family: Transfer RNA (tRNA) molecules are approximately 80 nucleotides in length. Their secondary structure includes four short double-helical elements and three loops (D, anti-codon, and T loops). The record is from RNAcentral. Lineage: Bacteria; Pseudomonadati; Candidatus Omnitrophota.